UACGGAGGGGGCUAGCGUUGUUCGGAAUUACUGGGCGUAAAGGGCACGUAGGCUGGCUGUUAAGUCGGGGGUGAAAUCCUGAGGCUCAACCUCAGAAUUGCCUCCGAUACUGGCGGUCUCGAGUGCGGGAGAGGUGAGUGGAAUUCCCAGUGUAGAGGUGAAAUUCGUAGAUAUUGGGAAGAACACCAGUGGCGAAGGCGGCUCACUGGCCCGCAACUGACGCUGAGGUGCGAAAGCGUGGGGAGCAAACAGG
This 253-nucleotide non-coding RNA is filed under the name Rhodoligotrophos sp. Its description in RNAcentral is "partial 16S ribosomal RNA". It matches the Rfam family "Bacterial small subunit ribosomal RNA", at positions 524 to 776 of the family's 1533-position model. RNAcentral also lists the same sequence under 3 other names. Lineage: Bacteria; Pseudomonadati; Pseudomonadota; Alphaproteobacteria; Hyphomicrobiales; Rhodoligotrophaceae. The record is from RNAcentral.